Molecule: long non-coding RNA, 413 nt
Organism: Orcinus orca (killer whale)
Lineage: Eukaryota; Metazoa; Chordata; Mammalia; Artiodactyla; Delphinidae
Exons: 3
Source: RefSeq, a predicted model, not a curated record
CAGCUCACGGGCAUGUGGCGUCUGCAAGAACCGCCUCCUCCAGAGAAGGCCCAGGGUCUCCACCUGACACAUGUGUCCCCUGUCCCAUCAUUUCACCAGUGUCAUGUGGCCUCCUUGCUUGCCUCUGCACAUCAUGUUCCUGACGGGAUCCCUUUUAAGGCGGGGGAAUCAUUCUUUUCAGCCAUCACCUCAGCAUCAAUGUUCUCUCAUCUGCUAUUUUACUCCUAUAUUCUUUGAAAGAGCAUUUCAACAAAUUCUCGAUUUGAACAGCUGGGACAGUGUGUGACCGAACGUCCAACUUCCUUCCCACCAGUGUGGCUGUGAUGGGACCAGAGGCCUGAAUGGGGAGAAAUGCCCAGUGUAUAUAGUCUGAACCUUGUCUACUGAGAGCGAGAGUAUCUAGGAUAUCAAGG